RNAcentral lists this ribosomal RNA (874 nucleotides) under uncultured bacterium. Its description in RNAcentral is "bacterial SSU rRNA". It matches the Rfam family "Bacterial small subunit ribosomal RNA", at positions 52 to 925 of the family's 1533-position model. The record is from RNAcentral.
CACAUGCAGUCGAACGAAGCACUUUAUUUGAUUUCCUUCGGGACUGAUUAUUUUGUGACUGAGUGGCGGACGGGUGAGUAACGCGUGGGUAACCUGCCUUGUACAGGGGGAUAACAGUUGGAAACGGCUGCUAAUACCGCAUAAGCGCACAGUAUCGCAUGAUGCAGUGUGAAAAACUCCGGUGGUAUAAGAUGGACCCGCGUUGGAUUAGCUAGUUGGUGAGGUAACGGCUCACCAAGGCGACGAUCCAUAGCCGACCUGAGAGGGUGACCGGCCACAUUGGGACUGAGACACGGCCCAAACUCCUACGGGAGGCAGCAGUGGGGAAUAUUGCACAAUGGGCGAAAGCCUGAUGCAGCGACGCCGCGUGAGCGAAGAAGUAUUUCGGUAUGUAAAGCUCUAUCAGCAGGGAAGAUAAUGACGGUACCUGACUAAGAAGCACCGGCUAAAUACGUGCCAGCAGCCGCGGUAAUACGUAUGGUGCAAGCGUUAUCCGGAUUUACUGGGUGUAAAGGGAGCGCAGGCGGUGCGGCAAGUCUGAUGUGAAAGCCCGGGGCUCAACCCCGGUACUGCAUUGGAAACUGUCGUACUAGAGUGUCGGAGGGGUAAGCGGAAUUCCUAGUGUAGCGGUGAAAUGCGUAGAUAUUAGGAGGAACACCAGUGGCGAAGGCGGCUUACUGGACGAUAACUGACGCUGAGGCUCGAAAGCGUGGGGAGCAAACAGGAUUAGAUACCCUGGUAGUCCACGCCGUAGACGAUGAAUACUAGGUGUUGGGAAGCAUUGCUUCUCGGUGCCGUCGCAGACGCAGUAAGUAUUCCACCUGGGGAGUACGUUCGCAAGAAUGAAACUCAGAGGAAUUGACGGGGACCCGCA